UCCAGACUCCUACGGGAGGCAGCAGUAAGGGAUAUUGGUCAAUGGGGGAAACCCUGAACCAGCAACGCCGCGUGAGGGAAGACGGUUUUCGGAUUGUAAACCUCUGUCCUCUGUGAAGAUGAUGACGGUAGCAGAGGAGGAAGCUCCGGCUAACUACGUGCCAGCAGCCGCGGUAAUACGUAGGGGGCAAGCGUUAUCCGGAUUUACUGGGUGUAAAGGGAGCGUAGACGGCGACGCAAGUCUGAAGUGAAAUGCCAGUGCUCAACACUGGAACUGCUUUGGAAACUGUGUAGCUAGAGUGCAGGAGAGGUAAGUGGAAUUCCUAGUGUAGCGGUGAAAUGCGUAGAUAUUAGGAGGAACACCAGUGGCGAAGGCGGCUUACUGGACUGUAACUGACGUUGAGGCUCGAAGGCGUGGGGAGCAAACAGGAUUAGAUACCCGAGUA
RNAcentral lists this ribosomal RNA (445 nucleotides) under uncultured bacterium. Its description in RNAcentral is "bacterial SSU rRNA". It matches the Rfam family "Bacterial small subunit ribosomal RNA", at positions 330 to 792 of the family's 1533-position model. The record is from RNAcentral.